This 289-nucleotide ribosomal RNA is filed under the name uncultured Flavobacteriaceae bacterium. RNAcentral's name for it is "partial 16S ribosomal RNA". The record is from RNAcentral. Lineage: Bacteria; Pseudomonadati; Bacteroidota; Flavobacteriia; Flavobacteriales; Flavobacteriaceae.
CUACCCGGGUUUCUAAUCCUGUUCGCUCCCCACGCUUUCGUCCAUCAGCGUCAGUCUUAUCUUAGCAACCUGCCUUCGCAAUUGGUGUUCUAAGUAAUAUCUAUGCAUUUCACCGCUACACUACUUAUUCCAGCUACCUCAAAUAUACUCAAGACUAACAGUAUCAACGGCAGUUCUACAGUUAAGCUGCAGGAUUUCACCGCUGACUUAUCAGCCCGCCUACGGACCCUUUAAACCCAAUAAAUCCGGAUAACGCUUGCACCCUCCGUAUUACCGCGGCUGCUGGCAC